GCACUGGUGGUUCAGUAGCAGAAUUCUCGCCUUCCACGCACAAGGCCCAGGUUUGAUUCCUGGUCGAUGCA
RNAcentral lists this transfer RNA (71 nucleotides) under Loxodonta africana (African savanna elephant). It matches the Rfam family "tRNA". Rfam says of the family: Transfer RNA (tRNA) molecules are approximately 80 nucleotides in length. Lineage: Eukaryota; Metazoa; Chordata; Mammalia; Proboscidea; Elephantidae. The record is from Rfam by way of RNAcentral.